RNAcentral lists this ribosomal RNA (423 nucleotides) under uncultured prokaryote. Its description in RNAcentral is "bacterial SSU rRNA". It matches the Rfam family "Bacterial small subunit ribosomal RNA", at positions 355 to 796 of the family's 1533-position model. The record is from RNAcentral.
UGGGGAAUCUUGGACAAUGGGGGCAACCCUGAUCCAGCGACGCCGCGUGGGUGGUAAGGCCUUCGGGUUGUAAAGCCCUUUCAGCGGGGAAGAUGAUGACAUUACCCGCAGAAGAAGCGCCGGCUAACUCCGUGCCAGCAGCCGCGGUAAUACGGAGGGUGCGAGCGUUAAUCGGAAUUACUGGGCGUAAAGCGCGCGUAGGCGGUUUUGUAAGUCGGAUGUGAAAUCCCCGGGCUUAACCUGGGAACUGCAUUCGAUACUGCUUAACUAGAGUAUGGUAGAGGGAAGUGGAAUUUCCGGUGUAGCGGUGAAAUGCGUAGAUAUCGGAAGGAACACCAGUGGCGAAGGCGACUUCCUGGGCCAAUACUGACGCUGAGGUGCGAAAGCGUGGGGAGCAAACAGGAUUAGAUACCCCCGUAGUCC